CUGCCUGUAGCUCAGUUGGUAGAGCAUGGUGCUUAAAACACCAGUAUAGUUGGUUUGAUUCCCAGGAACA
RNAcentral lists this transfer RNA (70 nucleotides) under Salmo salar (Atlantic salmon). It matches the Rfam family "tRNA". Rfam says of the family: Transfer RNA (tRNA) molecules are approximately 80 nucleotides in length. Their secondary structure includes four short double-helical elements and three loops (D, anti-codon, and T loops). Further hydrogen bonds mediate the characteristic L-shaped molecular structure. tRNAs have two regions of fundamental functional importance: the anti-codon, which is responsible for specific mRNA codon recognition, and the 3' end, to which the tRNAs corresponding amino acid is attached (by aminoacyl-tRNA synthetases). tRNAs cope with the degeneracy of the genetic code in two manners: having more than one tRNA (with a specific anti-codon) for a particular amino acid; and 'wobble' base-pairing, i.e. permitting non-standard base-pairing at the 3rd anti-codon position. Lineage: Eukaryota; Metazoa; Chordata; Actinopteri; Salmoniformes; Salmonidae. The record is from Rfam by way of RNAcentral.